UGGGGAAUUUUGGACAAUGGGGGCAACCCUGAUCCAGCAAUGCCGCGUGUGUGAAGAAGGCCUUCGGGUUGUAAAGCACUUUUGUCCGGAAAGAAAACGUCGUGGUUAAUACCCGUGGCGGCUGACGGUACCGGAAGAAUAAGCACCGGCUAACUACGUGCCAGCAGCCGCGGUAAUACGUAGGGUGCAAGCGUUAAUCGGAAUUACUGGGCGUAAAGCGUGCGCAGGCGGUCCGCUAAGACAGAUGUGAAAUCCCCGGGCUUAACCUGGGAACUGCAUUUGUGACUGGCGGGCUAGAGUAUGGCAGAGGGGGGUAGAAUUCCACGUGUAGCAGUGAAAUGCGUAGAGAUGUGGAGGAAUACCGAUGGCGAAGGCAGCCCCCUGGGCCAAUACUGACGCUCAUGCACGAAAGCGUGGGGAGCAAACAGGAUUAGAUACCCUGGUAGUCCACGCCCUAAACGAUGUCAACUAGUUGUCGGGUCUUCAUUGACUUGGUAACGUAGCUAACGCGUGAAGUUGACCGCCUGGGGAGUACGG
Molecule: ribosomal RNA, 537 nt
Filed under: uncultured bacterium
Lineage: Bacteria
Description: partial 16S ribosomal RNA
Rfam family: Bacterial small subunit ribosomal RNA
Source: RNAcentral